CACGUAGGGUGCGAGCGUUGUCCGGAAUUAUUGGGCGUAAAGAGCUCGUAGGCGGUGUGUCGCGUCGGCCGUGAAAACCUGUGGCUUAACCAUGGGCUUGCGGUCGAUACGGGCAUCACUGGAGUUCGGCAGGGGAGACUGGAAUUCCUGGUGUAGCGGUGAAAUGCGCAGAUAUCAGGAGGAACACCGGUGGCGAAGGCGGGCCACCUG
This 210-nucleotide ribosomal RNA is filed under the name uncultured bacterium. RNAcentral's name for it is "partial 16S ribosomal RNA". It matches the Rfam family "Bacterial small subunit ribosomal RNA", at positions 524 to 732 of the family's 1533-position model. The record is from RNAcentral.